UGGUGUGCGGAGCGGGUCAGGCUGUGCGAGGGCGGUCCGGGGUGGCACAGGGGAUGCGGAGCGGGGACGGGAUACCGCGGGAAGCACGCAGCGAUGUGAGGGGCCAGGGAACCGCGCUCCCGGCGCUGCUGAGCCCUGUGUUAGCGCCUGCUCUGUUCCGAGGCAGCACCGACACCCCGCGUACCGGGUUGGAAUGUCCUUUACAGCAUGGACCAUCCCGCCCCGCUGCUUUAUGGAACUGGCAGGAGUGACAGCAGGCAGCCCCCUCCUGGCACAGCUUCCGUCAUCUCCCGUGCGUGUGGCAGCACCGGCCUCUCCGUCAGUCCCUGGGCUGGAGAAAGCCAAAAGCUUGACCGUCCUGAAUCUUCAAAUUACAAACAUACCCAGUCCAGACUCAGAAUGAGCUGCAGGAACUCUCCAGGUCUGGCUGCUAGAGACAAAGCAAAUGGAUAAAUCUACUGUGACGUCUCUCUGCAGGUGAAAUGCCUCCUGUCCCUCAAGUGGCUCAGCAGAUUAGCCAGGAGGAAAACCAGCAGCAAAAUGGACCAAAUUUGUCAAGUUGGCUUAAUUCCUUACCUGCUGCAUAUGACAGGAACCCAGUUCUGCCCCAGCAGGUACAGCCAGCAGGCUGGGAUAGGAACAAUGUGCUUGUGGUCCCAGCUCCGGCUCCCUCACAACAACAGGUAUAUUUGUAAAUUAUACAGCAUUUAUAUUAUAUAACAUUCGUUCAUUAUCUUGUUUGGAGAUUGUUGACCUUUGUGUUUUGUGUGGUGACUUUGUGGAUGGUGGAAUUUAUCACUCCAGCCUGGGGAGAAAGGAGCAAAUAAUUCCAGUAGUUUAUGCAGGUGACUUUGCCAAGCCUGAUAAUUUGCUUCAGACAGCUGUGGCGUAGCUCAUCUGGGUAUGAAUCUUCCUUUACAAAAAUACUUUUGUAUUUAAAUUUAGAAUGUCUGUGGAUACCUGUGGCUUUCAUUUGGUUUUAAUUAGUGCUGCAGAUAUACAUGAUUUUUCUUGAAGAAAGGAAAGGGGUGAGGAGGAAUCAGACACAUUCUCUAGGGAGGUAGCAUUUGUUCUUGUAAUAAAGUCCUAGAAGGAGAUUUAAUUAAACAGAAUCCAUUAUUUAAAAAUUUUAUGCGCCAUUUUAGAAUAAAGGAGGGGGAAUGGUAAUGAAAAUUUGUGCUGCUUGUGCUGACUUGACAACAGUUGCAGGAUGCUUACAUGUGUUAAUAAAAAUGCCAGAAAAUAAAUGUGUUUUUAUAUGAACUUUUUUGAGAAUUUUGUCCAUCUGCCAUCUGGCAGAGUAUUUAAAUUCUGUGAAAUUUCUCACUGAAUCAGCCAGCACUUCGAUGAGAUCUAGGGGUACUAUACCUUAGGAGGAAAAACAGACGUUAUCAAGACUGAGUAGCACUGCAUUCCAAGCUUCUCUCCUGAUUUUUUGUAUUACUGCUGCCUCACAAAGUCCUUCAGAGACUUUACAAAAAGCUGCACAAAAUGCAUUAUUCAUUGUCCUUUAAUAAAGUGUGACUUCAAACACCAUGGAAUGUUUCCAAGGACUGAAUAAUCAUUUACUGAAUAAUCAUUUCUAUUGAUUAUCCAUGUAUUUUUCAUAGUGUCUGUCUUGGUUUUGUGUUGUGCAGUAGGAAACAUAAGUUUAAUUAUGUUUAUUUGAAGAAAAAUGAAUUCUGCAGGGAAUAACAGCACUGAGGAAAGAAGGUUUAUGGUCUCUGAAACCUCUGCCCAAACUCAGCACAAAUCAUACCAUGUUGUUAUGAAAGAAAUGCAGUGGAUGGCAACUGACUUCUUUUUCAAGAAAGAAGAUGAAAGACUGUAAUUGCCAAGAGAGUGAUGUGAAUUUGAUAUUUUCAACCAGAAAAGAAUAGGCAGCAUUUUCAUGGACACAGACUGGCCUCUCCUUGAUGAGAUUGGCAUGGAAAACCAAAUUAAUUGCUACAAAGCACAAAUGCUGCCAAAACUGAAGGUAACUGGAAAGUUUAUUGAAGACAUCUCCUGCUCCCUUUCAUCAGCCAGACUUAAGCCAGUGAAGUUCAAACCAAAAAGAAGCUUUAUCUGGUCACAAUAGAUUCAGAAAAUAAUUUUGAAUUUAAAGGGUAUCCAAAGAGAAAAAAGACAACUAAAGGAACACCUGGAUAAAAUAUACUUCUGGAAUGAGUGUCAUUAUUCCAGAAUCCUCCUGUAUGGCAGAGACCUGUUGGAAACUUGCUCUUGGAUCAGUGAAAGAAAAAUCUCUCAGCAUUGUUCUGCCAGGAUUAACAAGUGGUGCUGGGCAGGCUUUGCAAAUUGCCUUCCAUAUUUCAGCAUUUCAGAGGCUCUAAGGAUCCAUUGCAGGAAAUCAUUCUGACACUGAAACAGCAACAGAUUGCCCUGAAGGAUGUUAUUACCAGAGACCUGUGUGUGUUCCAGCUGUAGCUGUUGCUCCUCCAUGUUUGUGUGGCACAAAUCCUUCUUACACAUGGACCCAUGGAAUGAAACUCUUGCAGUUCAGUCUCGAGGAACAGAGAUGGUGCAGUGUGAUUCAGGCAAGCUGGGAGCUCUGGCUGUCCUGCUUUGGAAGAUGAAAGCAGAAGGGAGAGCAGGUGCUGAUUUUGACACAGAUGAUUGCAGUGUUUAACAUCCGGGAGCUUUUCCUGCAUUUCCGUUUCCUCACGUGAGGGAGAGUUAGUGAGAGUGGUGCUCACAGCUGGCAUUAUCUGGUGUCAGUCACACAGGUGUGAUUACUGUUGUCUUCUAUGACUGAUUUAGAUCUGCUGAUGGAUGCAAAGAGUAAGGAGUGGUGUGACAAAAUUGCAAGAGGCAGAGAUAACCACACAUACAGGCUUGUAAGUGGUAAUUCUGUUGAAGAGAAUCUGUUGAAAAAGAGUAUUAAACAUAUGAUUCAAGAACUGGCUGCUCAGGGAGGGGAUUGUUCAACAGACCUUUUAUCUCAGGUACUGUAACAUUAAGAACAUUAGCAGUUAUUUAAUGAUACAUUAAAAAUUAGCAUUUUACUAUAUCUGACACAGAAUUUUGAAAAGGUAGUGAUUUAUUCAUUUCUAGGCUUAUUUGGGAACCAGUGAUAUGUGUUCACAGUUCAGCAGAAAUCCUGAACUGUCAGCUCAUAUAGAAAAUCAGAAGGUAACAAUAUCUAGUAAUAAAGGUUUGAUUGUUUCAAUGAUAAUGUUACCCUUUUAUUGACAUUGUCUUAAUCAAAAGCAACAUCUGCAGCAAAAGGUGUCAAAUACAUCUGUAAUUUGACUUUUCUGAACUUGAUUUUAAGAUGACUAAAAUUUUUUUUGACAUCAUGCCUUAUCAUAUUGAAUACUUCAAAACAUGUUUCCAUAAGGGUCUUUGCUCUGAAUAUGGAAAAGAGGGAUCCAGAACGUUUACAGAAGAGAGACUGUCUGAGCUAAGAAAUCAUUUAGAUUGAGAGUUGUGUGACUCAGGAAACAUUAUGGUUCCUACUCAGAAGAGCUGGCCAGCUUGGUGGACCAGAUCUGGAGAUUUCUCUUAUUUUAUGUAAACCUUUAGAAAAGGUUGGAAUUUACUUUCUGUAAAACAACCAAGUGGCUUCCGUAAAGUACCUUGUUUUCAAUCCAUUUACAUGAAACAGUUCUGUGCAAAUUUAAAUACUGAAACACUCAGGGGAGGCAAUUUGAGCCUGUUGAUAUAUCUGUUCAUGUUCUGAAACAUUUAAAUUACCAAGUGUUCUCCUGAGGGUUGUGACGUGCAUUGAACUAAAUUGUAUCUUGUGUUGUAAAACUGUUUUAUAGUCCUGUGCCUUGUCAGAUAAUUUGCAUUUUUUUCUUAAAGGUUUUGGAUCAUGUCAGUGAUGUAGUUCUCUUGUAACUAUGUUUAUCACUCUCCAAAGCAAUGCCAAAAUUAUUACAUAAAGACCAUUGCAGGUCCAGAGGGAAAGGUGUUGAAACAUGAUUUGCAUUGUGAGAACUUGGGGGUUCCUGGGGUCUUUUUUGUUGUAGGUUUUUUUUUUCUUUCUUUUUUUUUUUCUUUUAAUUCCUCAUUGCUGUUAGAGUACUACGUGAGUGUUUACUAAGCAGAAACAUAACUAGAUUUUAGAAUUCUGAAUAGCAAAUGUUAGUAAAUACCUUCUCCUAACAGCAUUACUAAUAUAGGUUAUAUUUAUUACAUUUCCAUACACUUAGGAAUAUGAAUUUCCCCAAUGUUAUGAAAAUAUGACAUUGGAUGUAUCAUUUACACAACCAGUAUGUUAAAAAUAAGGGAGGAAAACUGUUUAAGUGGUAGGAUAUGAAUUGUUUUCAGUCAAGGCUAUUGAUAACUAUGAAUUUUGAGACAGGGCUUUUGCUUAUGUAUUUUUGUAUUAUGUAUUUUUUUGCUUAUGUAUUUUUGGUACCUAAGCCUUCACUUUGUAUUUAUGUAGAAUGUAGGUGGUCAUCCUCUUUGUGCUAAAGACUGGAAUUCUGGGUGUAUUCAAAUCUAUAUGAAUCACUUUGAGUUGAUGACAGUGACUACUAGAAAUAGAUUUCUUUAAGUUUACCUCUACUGUCAAUAAUUUUUCUCAGAUUUAACAGGAAAUCACUGGUGGCCUGAUGCGUGAAUGUGUUUUCUCUUAAGCACGAAUGUAAUUCACGGGGACCUUUUUCUUAUCAAAGGCUCUGUGCUAACCUUUAGCUUUAAGGUAGUGUUUACUGUCCAAGAAUCAAAUCUGUGCUCGUGCUGAUGUAAAGAAAAGCCUGAAGUGCUUCAGUAUUGCUCCAUCUGAUGUACCAGAAGUCCUUCCUCAGGUCUGGGUAGAACCUCCUGAGCAUCAGGGUGUGCCCGUUGUCUCCUGUCCUGUUACCUGGCACCACCGAGCAGAGCUGCUCCUCUCAGCCGCCUCUUCCCGAGGCUGAACAGCGCCGGCUCCCUCAGCCUUUCCCCGCAAGAGAGAUGCUCCAGCCCCUUCACCACCUUUGUUUCCCUCGGCUGGCCCCGCUCCAGACGCUCCCAGUCUCUCCUGCCCUGAGGAGUACAAGCCCCGCGAGCUGCAAUGUGCAUUUUCACACCGUGGCUUGAAGAGCCAGCCCUGCUCCCUGCGCGGACAGAAACCACCCUUUGCUCUCUCCUUCCCCUCCCCUGUCUCUGCUAUAAUAAAUAUCCAUUUUUCUGCCCUGUC
Cyanistes caeruleus (blue tit) is the source of this 5128-nucleotide non-coding RNA. NCBI's taxonomy places the organism in Eukaryota, Metazoa, Chordata, Aves, Passeriformes, Paridae. The record is from RefSeq and is a predicted model, not a curated record.